RNAcentral lists this ribosomal RNA (492 nucleotides) under uncultured bacterium. Its description in RNAcentral is "partial 16S ribosomal RNA". It matches the Rfam family "Bacterial small subunit ribosomal RNA", at positions 29 to 506 of the family's 1533-position model. The record is from RNAcentral.
AGUGAACGCUGGCGGUAGGCCUAACACAUGCAAGUCGAACGGCAGCACAGUAAGAGCUUGCUCUUACGGGUGGCGAGUGGCGGACGGGUGAGGAAUACAUCGGAAUCCACUUUUUCGUGGGGGAUAACGUAGGGAAACUUACGCUAAUACCGCAUACGACCUACGGGUGAAAGCAGGGGAUCUUCGGACCUUGCGCGAUUGAAUGAGCCGAUGUCGGAUUAGCUAGUUGGCGGGGUAAAGGCCCACCAAGGCGACGAUCCGUAGCUGGUCUGAGAGGAUGUAGCGCCCAACUGGGAACUGAGACAGGGCCCAGACCCCUACGGGGGGGAGGGGUGGGGAAUUUUGGAAAAGGGGGGGAAGCCUGACCCAGCCAUACCGGGGGGGUGAAGAAGGCCUUCGGGUUGUAAAGCCCUUUUUUUGGGAAAGAAAAGCAGCAGGUUAAUACCCCGCUGUUCUGGCGGUCCCCAAAAAAUAAGCACCGGCUAACUUCGU